AUGCUCAUGUCAUCCUGUCUGAAUAGAACAGAAAGAUCACAUGUGGAAGUGCAGCAGCUGUAUUUUGAUCAUUCUGAGAGAUUUGAUACAUGUCCGCAGGUUCUGUGUCAAGAGAGUCAGUGUUACUGGAAGGUUGAAUGGAGCAGCUGGGAUCAUGUAGCAGUGAAAUAUAUAGGAAUCAGCAGAAAAGAUUUACUAGAGUGCCAUUGGAGAGAGGAGAGAGAUCUCCUUUCCCUUUGUGAUUCCAGAAGAUCUAGCCCAAUGUGUGUCAUCCCAGCUGACAUUAUUCUAACAGUUCUAUCUGGUUCUGAUUGACAAACACAGCAGUUGAAUAUCUGCAGAAGAUCACAUCACAUGAUGGCAGAAACCAACACUGACAGAAAGACAGUCCUUAGUCUUCUGGACAAGGUUCAAGGGAAGACAAGAUUAUGUUUGCUGGAAACAAGCAUCUAAGGACAUGAAGAACAUGGUGUGGGUACCCCUUACAAUGGUUCCCCUUUGCCCAUCUGCAAGAAUGAGGAGAAGGUCAGAGUGCCAGCCAGCUUCCAGUGAAUGCAAAAACAGAGCCCACUGCAAACAGAGAGAUAUGAGCCUGCCAAGAUAAAUGAGCCAGAGAAGAGGAAUGAGCCAACCAUCGCCCUGGAGCCAGAGCCUCCCAGAGAUUCUGACCAGGUGUGUGAGCUGGCAAAAUUGUGUUCCACUGGGUGUGCUUGUGGCUACACCUCAGUCCUCCAUGCCCUGGACUCCACCUUGGCCUUCUGACCCUUCAGCUCCUCCUUGGCUCCUCAGCUACACCGGGGUCUGUUAGUCUUCAGACUCCACUGGGCUCCAUCAUUCCUGCAGUUCCAAUUUGGUCAGUCAAUGCCCUGCUCCCACCUUGAUCUUCCAGUCCUCUGGCUGUGCCUCAUCCCUCCAUCUCUCUCUGGCUCUACAGUGGUCCUCUGUCCCACCAGCUUUGCCCCGGCUUGCCAAGCCACUGUCUCCAUCUCAGUCUUGCGAGCCUGCGGCUCCACUUGGAAGGCCUGUAUUUUCCUCAGAUCUUUGUCUGUCUUUGUCUUGUAUUCGUUAGACCAGUAUCCUGAGUAUUUUGUUAUUUUGGUUUUUUUUUUUAAGUAUUGCUGCACUUAGAUCCUGACUUUUAUCUUUAUUACCAGCAACCAAUCCUAAAGGCGAGUCAAAGGUUGUAAAAACACCUUUCAUUUGGUGUGACCUUAUCAAAGCUAUUGCAGAUGUCUUCAUCGAUUCAGAAGAGCUCAGUUUUAUCCUGCCGUUUUUUUCAGGAACUGUUAGAUUACUGUUUGCUGUUUAAUAAAUUUAGAGAUAUUGUAUUACCUCUGGUUGAU
Molecule: long non-coding RNA, 1343 nt
Organism: Cyprinus carpio (common carp)
Lineage: Eukaryota; Metazoa; Chordata; Actinopteri; Cypriniformes; Cyprinidae
Source: Ensembl